ACCAACCCCCUUUAUUUUUUUUUUUUUCCCCCCCCCUCCCCACCGUAUCGUAGGGCGCAAGCGUUGUCCGGAAUUAUUGGGCGUAAAGAGCUCGUAGGCGGUUUGUCGCGUCUGCUGUGAAAGCCCGGGGCUCAACCCCGGGUCUGCAGUGGGUACGGGCAGACUAGAGUGCAGUAGGGGAGACUGGAAUUCCUGGUGUAGCGGUGAAAUGCGCAGAUAUCAGGAGGAACACCGAUGGCGAAGGCAGGUCUCUGGGCUGUUACUGACGCUGAGGAGCGAAAGCAUGGGGAGCGAACAGGAUUAGAUACCCUGGUAGUCCAUGCCGUAAACGUUGGGCACUAGGUGUGGGGGACAUUCCACGUUCUCCGCGCCGUAGCUAACGCAUUAAGUGCCCCGCCUGGGGAGUACGGCCGCAAGGCUAAAACUCAAAGGAAUUGACGGGGGCCCGCACAAGCGGCGGAGCAUGCGGAUUAAUUCGAUGCAACGCGAAGAACCUUACCAAGGCUUGACAUUCACCGGACUACCCCAGAGAUGGGGUUUCCCUUCGGGGUCGGUGGACAGGUGGUGCAUGGUUGUCGUCAGCUCGUGUCGUGAGAUGUUGGGUUAAGUCCCGCAACGAGCGCAACCCUCGUUCUAUGUUGCCAGCACGUGAUGGUGGGGACUCAUAGGAGACUGCCGGGGUCAACUCGGAGGAAGGUGGGGAUGACGUCAAAUCAUCAUGCCCCUUAUGUCUUGGGCUUCACGCAUGCUACAAUGGCCGGUACAAAGGGUUGCGAUACUGUGAGGUGGAGCUAAUCCCAAAAAGCCGGUCUCAGUUCGGAUUGAGGUCUGCAACUCGACCUCAUGAAGUCGGAGUCGCUAGUAAUCGCAGAUCAGCAACGCUGCGGUGAAUACGUUCCCGGGCCUUGUACACACCGCCCGUCAAGUCACGAAAGUUGGUAACACCCGAAGCCGGUGGCCUAACCCCUUGUGGGAGGGAGCCGUCGAAGGUGGGACUGGCGAUUGGGACUAAGUCGUAACAAGGUAGCCGUACCGGAACUCGUGAGAGACCCCCCUCCCAUAAUAUAAAAGGGGGGU
This 1077-nucleotide ribosomal RNA is filed under the name bacterium. Its description in RNAcentral is "bacterial SSU rRNA". It matches the Rfam family "Bacterial small subunit ribosomal RNA", at positions 507 to 1533 of the family's 1533-position model. The record is from RNAcentral.